AAGCGCUUGUGACCAGACUUGGGCUCGGUUAAUCAUCCAGCGUUCUCGCUGGUGCACUUUGCCGGUCCAGGCCAGCAUCAGUUUGCCGCGGGGGAUAAAGGCUUCGGGAACGUGGCUCCUCCGGGAGUGUUAUAGCCCGCUGCGUAAUACCCUGCGGUGGACUGAGGUUCGCGCUCUGCAAGGAUGCUGGCGUAAUGGUCAUCAGCGA
RNAcentral lists this ribosomal RNA (208 nucleotides) under Fusicolla sp. RNAcentral's name for it is "partial large subunit ribosomal RNA". Lineage: Eukaryota; Fungi; Ascomycota; Sordariomycetes; Hypocreales; Nectriaceae. The record is from RNAcentral.